UUGUAAGGCUAUACCAUCCUGAUUGCACCUGAUCUCAUUUGAUCUUGGAAGCUAAGCAGGAUUGGGCCUGAUUAGUAUUUGGAUGGGAAACCACCUGAAAGCAGGAGGUGCUACAUGUU
Molecule: ribosomal RNA, 119 nt
Organism: Vombatus ursinus (common wombat)
Lineage: Eukaryota; Metazoa; Chordata; Mammalia; Diprotodontia; Vombatidae
Source: Ensembl